RNAcentral lists this ribosomal RNA (42 nucleotides) under Oxyrrhynchium speciosum. Its description in RNAcentral is "partial 26S ribosomal RNA". The record is from RNAcentral. Lineage: Eukaryota; Viridiplantae; Streptophyta; Bryopsida; Hypnales; Brachytheciaceae.
CAGACCUCUAAUCGGAAAAGACUACCCGCUGAGUUUAANCAU